CCAACAUGUCCCGACCAGAAAGUGAGCUCCCCAUGGAGUGUGGCUGUGGCUGCAUCGGCCUCUGGUGAAACCCACAGUCCCCGGCUGUACACACCGUGUAGCCCAUGCUCUGUGCUUACAUAUUAAUGAGAAAAUGAAAUUAACGUCUCAUAGCAACUCCAUAAUUUCCCAGGCACACCUGUCUUCUUCCUCUUGUAAUUGUGAGCCCACAGCCCUCGGAACUUUAAAACUGAUCAACAAUGAUAAAUAAUAGUGCUGGGAUUCUACACAGGUCAUGAGGAGGCCUAUUAUCCAGCAGGAAGGAUAAUUUCAUUCGGAAUUUUCAACAGGAUGCCAAAGCUGUGUGUCUUUCUUCUUUCCUCAAUGAGGGCAGGAUAAUAGACCAUUUUCCAAACAUAAUUGGGUUCAUAUUCUCCAUCUAAAUGACAAGAUGGACACAAGGAAGACUUGAGCUUAUUGUUUUUCCUUGAACAAUGAACUUGAUUUGUAAACCAUCUCAAAUUGUCCUUUCACUGCCCCAACAUCCUCAAUGUUCCUGUGUUGCUGCAUAUAUCCCAGAGUGGAUUCUCCUUGGCCAAACUUGGCUCGAGUGUCCGGUUUUGACUCAGUCCUUGUCACCAGAAGGACAGUGUGGUCAUGGCCACCCUUUGAUCCGGUAGGAAGUAUGGAGAAUAUCGGCUCUACUCAAACCAUGUUGCCUUUGCAUGGGGAAUGGAUGAUUCACUGAAGAAACCUGGAGUGCUAUUUCUAAACAAAGAGGGAAAGAAUGUGUUACUUUGGAACUUUUCUUUGGUCAAGACAUCUUAUUAAUCUGACAGUACAAAUAGCUUGCUAAUAACUCAGUGCAUUUGGGGAUCACAGAGACUGUCAUCCCUCUACAGCAUCAUCAAGGAGGAUACUGCAAACAUCUUCACUUAGGAUGGACAAUGGUUAGACAUUGGCUUUCAAGGCUGCCUGCAUCAACCUGCAGAGCACAUGUUGGAAGUUUUUUUUCUUCCUGGAAACAAAGCAGAAACCAGAAGGAAGACCCAUCUAUGGAAGACCUUCACAUACUAUGCUCCUCCUCAUAUUAUUUCUUUCAAUUUUCUCAGGUGCAAAGUCAUCUGGGAAAAGUUACAUAACAUUAUGGAACAAUAGGACUGCUUAUACUGCAUCAUUGUGAAGUAAUGAUGGUUCUCCAUUGCUAAGUGGGUGGAUUCUUCAUGACGUGCAAGGGUAGCCACAGUAAUGUGUGCUCCCCGUCCCAGCCACCAAGUGUGGAAUGCUGUCCACAACUUUUGAGGGAUUGAGCUCAGGACCUUGCACUUGGCAGGCCGGCGCGGUGCCACUGAGCUACAUCCAUGGCCCAUGCAUACAUUUUUCAUCUUACACACUGACUUUAGAAGCACAACCUCCGAGGGUAAGAGGGAACCGAGAAGAUAGAAAUAUGAAAAUGGUGUUCACCUUUGAGUCAGACUCUGCUCAAAAAGAAAGAGAAACCUAGAAUGGAUUCUACAUGAGAAUAAAAAAGCAGCCACCAACAUAUUAAAAAGGAAACCAUGGGCCAAAAUAAAAGCUGUCAAAAUUAAAA
Long non-coding RNA from Heterocephalus glaber (naked mole-rat), 1570 nucleotides. RefSeq lists it as uncharacterized. The record is from RefSeq and is a predicted model, not a curated record. NCBI's taxonomy places the organism in Eukaryota, Metazoa, Chordata, Mammalia, Rodentia, Bathyergidae.